CCUACGGGUGGCAGCAGUGAGGAAUAUUGGUCAAUGGACGCAAGGCUGAACCAGCCAUGCCGCGUGCAGGAUGACGGCGCUAUGCGUUGUAAACUGCUUUUGUACGAGGAUAAAAUCAGACACGAGUGUCGGGUUGAAGGUAUCGGAAGAAAAAGGAUCGGCUAACUCCGUGCCAGCAGCCGCGGUAAUACGGAGGAUGCGAGCGUUAUCCGGAUUUUUUGGGUUUAAAGGGUGCGUAGGCGGUUUGUUAAGUUAGAGGUGAAAUGUCGGGGCUCAACCCCGGCAGUGCCUCUAAUACUGGUUGUCUUGAGAAGAGUAGCGGUAGGCGGAAUGUAUGGUGUAGCGGUGAAAUGCUUAGAGAUUACACAGAACACCGAUUGCGAAGGCAGCUUACC
This 395-nucleotide ribosomal RNA is filed under the name uncultured bacterium. RNAcentral's name for it is "partial 16S ribosomal RNA". It matches the Rfam family "Bacterial small subunit ribosomal RNA", at positions 338 to 730 of the family's 1533-position model. The record is from RNAcentral.